RNAcentral lists this small nuclear RNA (104 nucleotides) under Mustela putorius furo (domestic ferret). Lineage: Eukaryota; Metazoa; Chordata; Mammalia; Carnivora; Mustelidae. The record is from RNAcentral.
GUCGUUUUGGCAGCACAUAUACUAAAAUUGGAAUAAUACAGAGAAGAGUAGUAUGGCUCCUGUGCAAGGACGACAUACAGAUUCAUAAAACGUUCCAUAUUUGU